Molecule: ribosomal RNA, 253 nt
Filed under: uncultured bacterium
Lineage: Bacteria
Description: partial 16S ribosomal RNA
Rfam family: Bacterial small subunit ribosomal RNA
Source: RNAcentral
UACGAAGGGGGCUAGCGUUGCUCGGAAUCACUGGGCGUAAAGGGUGCGUAGGCGGGUCUUUAAGUCAGGGGUGAAAUCCUGGAGCUCAACUCCAGAACUGCCUUCGAUACUGAAGAUCUUGAGUUCGGGAGAGGUGAGUGGAACUGCGAGUGUAGAGGUGAAAUUCGUAGAUAUUCGCAAGAACACCAGUGGCGAAGGCGGCUCACUGGCCCGAUACUGACGCUGAGGCACGAGAGCGUGGGGAGCAAACAGG